CUCAAAAAAAAAAAAAAAUGGAGAUGAUGUUUGACCUUCCUAGCUGCUGAAAUAAAUGAGGCAAGGAUAGGAGCUCAUCAGGGUUCUGCAGACCUGCUGGUAAAGGAUAACCAGUUUGAGGAAGACAAGAUGCACAAUGGAAGCUGAUUUAAGUUGCACUUGGCAUUUAGGCAGGAGUUUAACAGCAAAGU
This is a long non-coding RNA of Mastomys coucha (southern multimammate mouse), 191 nucleotides long. RefSeq lists it as uncharacterized. The transcript is spliced from 3 exons. The record is from RefSeq and is a predicted model, not a curated record. Lineage: Eukaryota; Metazoa; Chordata; Mammalia; Rodentia; Muridae.